UUUAUAUACCGAGUAUACUGGGGAGCUUUUGAUUGCCUUCAAAAAGAACUGGCAGAAGUGCCCUCACAAACCAGACAGACCUUCCCUGUUUGCCAGGAAGAAGCCCGUGAUGAGGUUUCAGCAGUCUUAGCAGCCUCAGGUGGACCAGCUUUGAAAAAGGGAGAAGAGAGUCCUCAGGCCUGGCCUACUGGUGCCAUUGACCAGUCAUUCUCAAGAAAUCCUCUGGCACAUUCCCACUCCUUCUGCCACAUCUCCAAGUACAACAGUGCUGAGAUAUCUGGAGACAACAGGGAUUCAACAGAGAUACAUGGAUACAUGGGAGGAACAACCCUAAGCACCAGGACAUGCAGGGGACCACCCAGUUGCAAAGCAGCUUUGCAGGAAAGGACCCAAGAGUCCUGUUUGACACCAAGUUGAACAUGAAUCAGCAGUGUGCCCUUGCUGGUAUUUGGAUACUGCUGUGAUCCUCAAACAACAAAGAUACAGGAGUGGCACAGUUGUAAACCAUCGUAAAAUAUUGUUUUCUAUCAGUCUCUACAGUUACGGGUAAUUGCUAAAGUACAUGAACGUCCGUGGAGAACAGAAAUUUUCAGUUCAACUCAAGGAUUCAUCUGUAUUGCAAAUGCCUUCCACAGACCAGCUUCUUUAAGGCUCUAAGGCUGCUUUACAGCUACUUGACUGUCAAUACUUCUCUCUUCUAUGAGAUCACCUGCUGUUCUCCAGGGACCCAGACACACUUCAGCACUCACAGUAUCCUUUUAUCAAGGAGUUCCAUGACAGUUUGCAUGGAGUACCUUCUCCAUUCAAACCUACCUCCGGUUUGAUUUCUCUGUCUUUAGACAUAGCUCUUCACCCCUUAGCAGCUGUAUCCCUGAGUACAGAGGGGUCUCUAUUGAUUUCUAGUAAAGGAAGAAUGAUGUUGUAAAGCUAGCCACAUAUUAAACUAAAGCAUACAUGUACAGCAGACAAAAAAAUCCUCCCAUUUCAGUUCAGUCCUCAUUUCAGUUGCAAUGAAAAAAUACAGAGUAUUUUCACUGCUUCUCUAUGAAUCCCAUCAACAAUUUCAUACAAGUACUGUCUGAGUCAAAUGCCAACAAAAAUGAAAAGGACUCUGUGCAUGAAAGAAAAGGAUCGUUAUUUAUUUAGUUUGAGGGGAGGGUACUGUGUGAUUGCAAUUAAUAUUAGUUUUGAUCAACACAGAAAUGCCUCAUGGUUAUAUAGGCUGAAAAGCAAUGUUUUCAACUUCUUUGAUAUUUUCCCAAUAAGAAGGUAGCCAGAGGAGGAGAAAGAAAUUUUACAUUUCUGGUUAUUUUCUUUUAUUAUUUUAAAUAAUUUUAAAUCAGGAUGUUCAUGGUAGCAUCCUGAUCAAAUACUCAAACACUGAACAGUAGGGUAAUUUUUAUAACAGCACAGGUUCACAGGCUGAUCACCUAAUGAACAAUGGGAAUUUUAGAACUAAUGUAAGCAGUGCUGACAACCUGCAAAAUGCUAUUAUAAAUUUUCAAGAUGGGCUGCAUUUCAACAUCAGAAUCUUUAAGAUCUUAUACCUACAAGAUAAGAAGUCUGUAGAAGAGAAAGCUCCAGGGAGACCUUAGUACUUAAAGGGGGCUUAUAAAAAAGAUGUACAGCAACUUUUUACUCAGGCAGAUAAUGACAGGACAAGGAGGGAUGGUUUUAGAAUAAAGAGGGGAGAUUUAGAUUAGAUAUUAGGAGGAAAUUCUUCACUCAGUGGGUGGUAAGGCACUGGAACAGGUUGCCCAGAGAAGCUGUAGAUGUCCCAUCCCUGGAGGUGUUCAAGGCCAGGUUGGAUGGGGCCUUGGCAGCCAGAUCUAGUGGGUGGCAUCCCUGCCCAUGGCAGGGGGGUGAAACAGACAAGAACCUGUUAGAGAAGGUCCAGAGGAGGGUCACAAAAAUGAUCAGAGGGCUGAAGCACCUCUCCUGUGAAUAAAGGUGGAGAGAGUUUAUGUUCAGCCUUGAGAAGAGAAGCUGGGGAUACCUCAUUGCAGAGUUUCAAUAUAUACAAGGGGCUUGUAAGAAGGACAGAGACUAUUUACCAGGGCCUGUAAAGAGAGAAUAAGGGAUAAUGGUUUUAAACUGAAAAAGGGUAGAUUUAGGCUGCGUAUAAGGAAGAAAUUCUUCACUCAGAGGGUGGUGAGGCACUGAAACAGGUUUCCCAGAGAAGUUGUGGAUACCCCUUCCCUAAAAGUGUUCAGAGUCAGGUUGGAUGGGGUUUAGAACAAUUUGACCUGAAAGAUGUCCCUUCCCAAGACAGAAUGGUUGGACAAGACUACCUUUAAUGGUCCCUUCCAACCUGAAUGAUUCUAUAAUUCUAUUAUAAAACUAAAGAAUACAAGGAGAAAUUUAGUUCCAAAAUCCUUUUGAUAUGUGAUGAAGAACAACCCACCCCCCCCC
Long non-coding RNA from Cygnus atratus (black swan), 2412 nucleotides. RefSeq lists it as uncharacterized. Lineage: Eukaryota; Metazoa; Chordata; Aves; Anseriformes; Anatidae. The transcript has 5 exons. The record is from RefSeq and is a predicted model, not a curated record.